UGGGGAAUCUUGGACAAUGGGGGCAACCCUGAUCCAGCCAUGCCGCGUGAGUGAUGAAGGCCUUAGGGUCGUAAAGCUCUUUCGCCUGUGAAGAUAAUGACGGUAGCAGGUAAAGAAACCCCGGCUAACUCCGUGCCAGCAGCCGCGGUAAUACGGAGGGGGUUAGCGUUGUUCGGAAUUACUGGGCGUAAAGCGCACGUAGGCGGACCAGAAAGUUGGGGGUGAAAUCCCGGGGGCUCAACCCCGGAACUGCCUCCAAAACUAUUGGUCUAGAGUUCGAGAGAGGUGAGUGGAAUUCCAAGUGUAGAGGUGAAAUUCGUAGAUAUUUGGAGGAACACCAGUGGCGAAGGCGGCUCACUGGCUCGAUACUGACGCUGAGGUGCGAAAGUGUGGGGAGCAAACAGGAUUAGAUACCCUGGUAGUCCACACCGUAAAACGAUGAAUGCCAGUCGUCGGGUAGCAUGCUAUUCGGUGACACACCUAACGGAUUAAGCAUUCCGCCUGGGGAGUACGGUCGCAAGAUUAAAACUCAAAUGAAUUG
RNAcentral lists this ribosomal RNA (541 nucleotides) under uncultured bacterium. RNAcentral's name for it is "bacterial SSU rRNA". It matches the Rfam family "Bacterial small subunit ribosomal RNA", at positions 355 to 912 of the family's 1533-position model. The record is from RNAcentral.